GGGGGCUGGCGUUGAUUAGGAUGAACAUAAAAUGUGACUCUUAAUCAAUUGGUCCUAGGUUCGAGUCCUAGUGCCCCCACCA
This 82-nucleotide transfer RNA is filed under the name Thauera aminoaromatica S2. Its description in RNAcentral is "tRNA-Lys". The record is from RNAcentral. Lineage: Bacteria; Pseudomonadati; Pseudomonadota; Betaproteobacteria; Rhodocyclales; Zoogloeaceae.